GGUGAACGCUGGCGGCGUGCUUAAGACAUGCAAGUCGAACGGGCUCUUCGGAGCCAGUGGCGCACGGGUGAGUAACGCGUAACUGACCUACCCCAAAGUCGCGGAUAACGAUUCGAAAGAAUCGCUAAUACGUGAUGUGCUGUCAGAUCCUGUUCUGCCAGUAAAGAUUUAUUGCUUUGGGAUGGGGUUGCGUUCCAUCAGCUAGUUGGUGGGGUAAAGGCCCACUAAGGCGACGACGGAUCGCCGGCCUGAGAGGGUGGCCGGCCACAGGGGCACUGAGACACGGGUCCCACUCCUACGGGAGGCAGCAGUUAGGAAUCGUCCACAAUGGGCGAAAGCCUGAUGGAGCGACGCCGCGUGAGGGAUGAAGGUCCUCGGAUCGUAAACCUCUGAAUCAGGGACGAAAGACGCGAAAGCGGGAUGACGGUACCUGAGUAAUAGCACCGGCUAACUCCGUG
RNAcentral lists this ribosomal RNA (458 nucleotides) under uncultured bacterium. Its description in RNAcentral is "partial 16S ribosomal RNA". It matches the Rfam family "Bacterial small subunit ribosomal RNA", at positions 28 to 507 of the family's 1533-position model. The record is from RNAcentral.